AUGAACGCUGGCGGCGUGCCUCAUCCAUGCAAGUCGAGCGAACGGACGAGAAGCUUGCUUCUCUGAUGUUAGCGGCGGACGGGUGAGUAACACGUGGAUAACCUACCUAUAAGACUGGGAUAACUUCGGGAAACCGGAGCUAAUACCGGAUAAUAUUUUGAACCGCAUGGUUCAAAAGUGAAAGACGGUCUUGCUGUCACUUAUAGAUGGAUCCGCGCUGCAUUAGCUAGUUGGUAAGGUAACGGCUUACCAAGGCAACGAUGCAUAGCCGACCUGAGAGGGUGAUCGGCCACACUGGAACUGAGACACGGUCCAGACUCCUACGGGAGGCAGCAGUAGGGAAUCUUCCGCAAUGGGCGAAAGCCUGACGGAGCAACGCCGCGUGAGUGAUGAAGGUCUUCGGAUCGUAAAACUCUGUUAUUAGGGAAGAACAUAUGUGUAAGUAACUGUGCACAUCUUGACGGUACCUACUCAGAAAGCCACGGCUAACUACGUG
Molecule: ribosomal RNA, 496 nt
Filed under: uncultured bacterium
Lineage: Bacteria
Description: partial 16S ribosomal RNA
Rfam family: Bacterial small subunit ribosomal RNA
Source: RNAcentral